AUGGGGGAGGGGCAUGGCUCGAGUCCCCCCUGGGGACCAGACACAGCCAGGUUCCUGUCGCGGCUUAGCCUCGUGCUGGCUGUGUGGCUUCAGGAGAGAAAUUCGCCCUUUCUGGGCCUCUGUUGGCUCGUCCAGAAAUGGGGCUCCUUGCAAAGCACGGCCAGGAAGAUGCGUGGUGCUCCCGUGGCCGCGGUGGUGUGGUGGCUGCCACGGCGCCCUGCUGCCCGCCUGCAGCCUCGUGUGCCCCGGGAGGGAGGAGAGGCGGGGCUGAGGCGGGCCGAGGGCUGCAGAGGCUGCCGGGCACCUGCUCUUGAGACCCGGCUGUUCCCUGGCCAGCAGGCCUGGAGGCCUCGGCCGGGAGCCCAAGCUGCUCGCACGCCCAGGCCGGGGGGCCGGGGCCAGGCCUGCACUCGGACCUGGUGGGCUUCCAGCAUCCUGUGUGUGCCGGGUGCACACCCUGGGCUGCUCCGCAUGGCUCCUGCUGCAUCCCUGUGUUUCUGGGCUCCCCUGGGUGAACCCCGCAGCAGGAUUCAGAGCCCCCAGGCCCACACCUGCGGCCCCUUUGCUGAGCAAACAGCUGCCUCCCGGGGGGACCUGGCGCAACCAGCCUCGGGGUUUCAUCACCAGCCCCACGGCCGCCAGCGCCUGCCUGAGCCGGGCUGGGCUCUGGGCAGCUGGGUGGCUCCAGUGAGCCAUGGAGGACCCGUGACCGCAGCAGCUCCUGUGUCCCCGCCUCCCCCGCCCGGCCAGGACAGUGGGCGGCUGCCCAGGGAGCACAGAUGGCUCUUGGCUGGGAUCAGCUUCCUCUCCAGCCCUGGCCCUCACUGGCAGAGGCCGCGGAGGCUGGGCAGGGACAGUGGGGACCGGCUUGGCUGCGGGGCAGGGUGGCCUUGCAGGAGAGCAGCCCACAGAUCCCAGGGCCUGGGGAGGGGGAGGGUGUGGGCCACCAGGCUUCCCUGUGGUGAAGGGGGCCGGGGGCACUGCUCGUGUGCCUGGCAUCGGCCGGUGACCCCGACGAGCCCAGACUGCAGAGCCACACACCUGGGGUGUCUUCCUGGGGGCGGGCCUCGCACUCUGCCCUAUGUCUGGGUCCAGAGCUUUUUGCACGGUUGUGGGCUGUGUGGCGCCCAUGAGCCGCCUAAUUCUGCUCCAGGCCUCUGUCCGGUGUGGGCAGCAGGACACAGGUGUGCUGCCAGCGGUCAGUGCUCGAGUCCCUGCUUGUAA
RNAcentral lists this long non-coding RNA (1224 nucleotides) under Oryctolagus cuniculus (rabbit). RNAcentral's name for it is "lncRNA (ENSOCUG00000030568.1)". Lineage: Eukaryota; Metazoa; Chordata; Mammalia; Lagomorpha; Leporidae. The record is from RNAcentral.